Molecule: ribosomal RNA, 253 nt
Filed under: uncultured bacterium
Lineage: Bacteria
Description: partial 16S ribosomal RNA
Rfam family: Bacterial small subunit ribosomal RNA
Source: RNAcentral
UACGUAGGUGACCAGCGUUGUCCGGAUUUACUGGGCGUAAAGAGCGCGCAGGCGGUCGUUCAAGUCGAGUGUGAAAGCCCCCGGCUCAACUGGGGAGGGUCAUUCGAUACUGAUCGACUGGAAGGCAGGAGAGGGAAGCGGAAUUCCCGGUGUAGUGGUGAAAUGCGUAGAUAUCGGGAGGAACACCAGUGGCGAAGGCGGCUUCCUGGCCUGUUCUUGACGCUGAGGCGCGAAAGCUAGGGGAGCGAACAGG